GGUUCCUUAGCUCAAUUGGUUAGAGCAUUCCCCUCAUAAGGGACAGGUUCUCGGAUCAUACCCGAGAGGAGCCACCA
RNAcentral lists this transfer RNA (77 nucleotides) under Salmonella enterica. Its description in RNAcentral is "tRNA-Met". It matches the Rfam family "tRNA". From Rfam's summary of the family: Transfer RNA (tRNA) molecules are approximately 80 nucleotides in length. Lineage: Bacteria; Pseudomonadati; Pseudomonadota; Gammaproteobacteria; Enterobacterales; Enterobacteriaceae. The record is from RNAcentral. RNAcentral also lists the same sequence under 1 other name.